AUGAACGCUGGCGGCGUGCCUAAUACAUGCAAGUCGAGCGAACAGACGAGGAGCUUGCUCCUCUGACGUUAGCGGCGGCCGGGUGAGUAACACGUGGAUAACCUACCUAUAAGACUGGGAUAACUUCGGGAAACCGGAGCUAAUACCGGAUAAUAUAUUGAACCGCAUGGUUCAAUAGUGAAAGACGGUUUUGCUGUCACUUAUAGAUGGAUCCGCGCCGCAUUAGCUAGUUGGUAAGGUAACGGCUUACCAAGGCAACGAUGCGUAGCCGACCCGAGAGGGUGAUCGGCCACACUGGAACUGAGACACGGUCCAGACUCCUACGGGAGGCAGCAGUAGGGAAUCUUCCGCAAUGGGCGAAAGCCUGACGGAGCAACGCCGCGUGAGUGAUGAAGGUCUUCGGAUCGUAAAACUCUGUUAUUAGGGAAGAACAAAUGUGUAAGUAACUAUGCACGUCUUGACGGUACCUAAUCAGAAAGCCACGGCUAACUACGUG
This 496-nucleotide ribosomal RNA is filed under the name uncultured bacterium. Its description in RNAcentral is "partial 16S ribosomal RNA". It matches the Rfam family "Bacterial small subunit ribosomal RNA", at positions 29 to 507 of the family's 1533-position model. The record is from RNAcentral.